Molecule: ribosomal RNA, 522 nt
Filed under: uncultured bacterium
Lineage: Bacteria
Description: partial 16S ribosomal RNA
Rfam family: Bacterial small subunit ribosomal RNA
Source: RNAcentral
AUUGAACGCUGGCGGCGUGCCUAAUACAUGCAAGUCGAACGGUCUUUUCUAUGGAAGCUUGCUUCCACUGAGAAGAUAGUGGCGAACGGGUGAGUAACACGUGGGUAACCUGCCCAUAAGAGGGGGAUAACAUCCGGAAACGGUUGCUAAUACCGCAUAGUUUUCUUGAUCGCAUGAUCGAGAAAGGAAAGACGGCCUUUGUGCUGUCGCUUAGGGUUGGCCCCGCGGCGUAUUAGUUAGUUGGUGAGGUAACGGCUCACCAAGACGAUGAUACGUAGCCGACCUGAGAGGGUGAUCGGCCACAUUGGGACUGAGACACGGCCCAAACUCCUACGGGAGGCAGCAGUAGGGAAUCUUCCGCAAUGGACGAAAGUCUGACGGAGCAACGCCGCGUGAGUGAAGAAGGUUUUCGGAUCGUAAAACUCUGUUGUCAGAGAAGAACAAGUCGGAGAGUAACUGCUCCGGCCUUGACGGUAUCUGACCAGAAAGCCACGGCUAACUACGUGCCAGCCGCCGCCGUAA